GAUGAAGAACGCAGCGAAAUGCGAUAAGUAGCGUGAAUUGCAGAAUUCAGUGAAUCAUCGAAUCUUUGAACGCACAUUGCGCCCCUUGGUAUUCCAUGGGGCAUGCCUGUUCGAGCGUCAUUUGUACCUUCAAGCUCUGCUUGGUGUUGGGUGUUUGUCUCGCCUCUGCGUGUAGACUCGCCUCAAAACAAUUGGCAGCCGGCGUAUUGAUUUCGGAGCGCAGUACAUCUCGCGCUUUGCACUCAUAACGACGACGUCCAAAAGUACAUUUUUACACUCUUGACCUCGGAUCAGGUAGGGAUACCCGCUGAACUUAAGCAUAUCAAUAAGCGGAGGA
Molecule: unclassified non-coding RNA, 337 nt
Filed under: soil metagenome
Description: partial contains 5.8S ribosomal RNA, internal transcribed spacer 2, and large subunit ribosomal RNA
Rfam family: 5.8S ribosomal RNA (bases 1-120)
Source: RNAcentral